RNAcentral lists this transfer RNA (69 nucleotides) under Ernodes articularis. RNAcentral describes it as "tRNA-His". The record is from RNAcentral. Lineage: Eukaryota; Metazoa; Arthropoda; Insecta; Trichoptera; Beraeidae.
AUUUAAGUAGUUUAAGUAAAAAUAUUAAUUUGUGGAAUUAAUGAUAUAUAAUAAAUAUUAUCUUAGAUA